UAGGGAAUCUUCCGCAAUGGACGCAAGUCUGACGGAGCAACGCCGCGUGAGUGAAGAAGGGUUUCGGCUCGUAAAACUCUGUUGUUAAGGAAGAAUGACAGGCAGAGUAACUGCUGCGUGUGUGACGGUACUUAACCAGAAAGCCACGGCUAACUACGUGCCAGCAGCCGCGGUAAUACGUAGGUGGCAAGCGUUAUCCGGAAUUAUUGGGCGUAAAGCGCGCGUAGGCGGUUUUUUAAGUCUGAUGUGAAAGCCCCCGGCUCAACCGGGGAGGGUCAUUGGAAACUGGGGAACUUGAGUGCAGAAGAGGAGAGUGGAAUUCCAUGUGUAGCGGUGAAAUGCGCAGAGAUAUGGAGGAACACCAGUGGCGAAGGCGGCUCUCUGGUCUGUAACUGACGCUGAUGUGCGAAAGCGUGGGGAUCAAACAGG
This 429-nucleotide ribosomal RNA is filed under the name Bacillota bacterium. RNAcentral's name for it is "Firmicutes bacterium partial 16S ribosomal RNA". It matches the Rfam family "Bacterial small subunit ribosomal RNA", at positions 355 to 776 of the family's 1533-position model. The record is from RNAcentral. Lineage: Bacteria; Bacillati; Bacillota.